CACGUAGGGCGCGAGCGUUGUCCGGAAUUAUUGGGCGUAAAGAGCUCGUAGGCGGCCUGUUGCGUCCGCUGUGAAAGCCCGGGGCUUAACCCCGGGUCGGCAGUGGAUACGGGCAGGCUAGAGGUAGGUAGGGGAGAAUGGAAUUCCCGGUGUAGUGGUGGAAUGCGUAGAGAUCGGGAGGAACACCUGUGGCGAAGGCGGGUCUCUGGACAGUUCCUGACGCUGAGGCACGAAGGUCAGGGGAGCAAACGGG
RNAcentral lists this ribosomal RNA (253 nucleotides) under uncultured bacterium. RNAcentral describes it as "partial 16S ribosomal RNA". It matches the Rfam family "Bacterial small subunit ribosomal RNA", at positions 524 to 776 of the family's 1533-position model. The record is from RNAcentral.